This 68-nucleotide transfer RNA is filed under the name Autocrates maqueti. Its description in RNAcentral is "tRNA-Gln". The record is from RNAcentral. Lineage: Eukaryota; Metazoa; Arthropoda; Insecta; Coleoptera; Trictenotomidae.
UAUAUUUUAGUAUAUGAUGUAUAGAAAUUUUUGGUAUUUCAGGGGAUGGUUUAAUUCCGUCAAAUGUA